This 492-nucleotide ribosomal RNA is filed under the name uncultured bacterium. RNAcentral describes it as "partial 16S ribosomal RNA". It matches the Rfam family "Bacterial small subunit ribosomal RNA", at positions 29 to 507 of the family's 1533-position model. The record is from RNAcentral.
AGUGAACGCUGGCGGUAGGCCUAACACAUGCAAGUCGAACGGCAGCACAGUAAGAGCUUGCUCUUACGGGUGGCGAGUGGCGGACGGGUGAGGAAUACAUCGGAAUCUACUUUUUCGUGGGGGAUAACGUAGGGAAACUUACGCUAAUACCGCAUUCGACCUACGGGUGAAAGCAGGGGAUCUUCGGACCUUGCGCGAUUGAAUGAGCCGAUGUCGGAUUAGCUAGUUGGCGGGGUAAAGGCCCACCAAGGCGACGAUCCGUAGCUGGUCUGAGAGGAUGAUCAGCCACGCUGGAACUGAGACACGGUCCAGACUCCUACGGGAGGCAGCAGUGGGGAAUAUUGGACAAUGGGCGCAAGCCUGAUCCAGCCAUACCGCGUGGGUGAAGAAGGCCUUCGGGUUGUAAAGCCCUUUUGUUGGGAAAGAAAAGCAGCAGGUUAAUACCCCGCUGUUCUGACGGUACCCAAAGAAUAAGCACCGGCUAACUUCGUG